This 357-nucleotide ribosomal RNA is filed under the name uncultured bacterium. RNAcentral describes it as "bacterial SSU rRNA". It matches the Rfam family "Bacterial small subunit ribosomal RNA", at positions 28 to 413 of the family's 1533-position model. The record is from RNAcentral.
GACGAACGCUGGCGGUGUGCUUCACACAUGCAAGUCGAACGAGGUAGCAAUACCUAGUGGCGGACGGGUGAGUAACGCGUGGGAAUCUGCCUUUGGAUGGGGGAUAACGGGUCGAAAGACUCGCUAAUACCGCAUAUGACGAAAGUUGAAAGGAGUAAUCCGUCUAAAGAUGAGCCCGCGUCCGAUUAGCUAGUUGGUAGAGUAAAAGCCUACCAAGGCGACGAUCGGUAGCUGGUCUGAGAGGAUGAUCAGCCACAAUGGGACUGAGACACGGCCCAUACUCCUACGGGAGGCAGCAGUGGGAAUUUUACGCAAUGGGCGAAAGCCUGACGUAGCGACACCGCGUGAGCGAAGAAG